AUUGAACGCUGGCGGCAUGCUUUACACAUGCAAGUCGAACGGCAGCGCGGUCUUCGCCCUCGCUUCGAGUUGGCGACUGGCGGACAAUGCAGCAGUACGUCGCCAUCUGCUGUUUCGAGGGGGGUGACAUACGGAAACUUACCCCAAUCCCCCAUACGGCGUACGCGGGGAAGCGAAGGAUCUUCCGCCCUUGCGCGGGCCGAUGUCGGAUUAGCUAGUUGGUGGGGUAAAGGCGUACCAAGGCGACGAUCCGUAGCUGGUCUGAGAGGACGACCAGCCACACUGGAACUGAGACACGGCCCAGACUCCUACGGGAGGCAGCAGUGGGGAAUUUUGGACAAUGGGGGCAAGCCUGAUCCAGCCAUGCCGCGUGCGUGAAGAAGGCCUUCGGGUUGUAAAGCGCUUUUGUUCGGGAAGAAAAGCUGUGGGUUAAUACCCCGCGGUGAUGACGGUACCGAAAGAAUAAGCACCGGCUAACUACGUG
This 484-nucleotide ribosomal RNA is filed under the name uncultured bacterium. RNAcentral describes it as "partial 16S ribosomal RNA". It matches the Rfam family "Bacterial small subunit ribosomal RNA", at positions 30 to 507 of the family's 1533-position model. The record is from RNAcentral.